GACGAACGCUGGCGGCGUGCUUAACACAUGCAAGUCGAACGGUAAGGCCCUGUCUUUGUGGGGUUCUCGAGUGGCGAACGGGUGAGUCACACGUGAGUAACCUUCCCCUCACUUUUGGAUAACUUCAGGAAACUGGGGCUAAUACCGGAUAGGAGCUCCGGCUGCAUGGUGGGGGUUGGAAAGUUUCGGCGGGUGGGGAUGGACUCGCGGCUUAUCAGCUUGUUGGUGGGGUAGUGGCUUACCAAGGCUUUGACGGGUAGCCGGCCUGAGAGGGUGACCGGCCACAUUGGGACUGAGAUACGGCCCAGACUCCUACGGGAGGCAGCAGUGGGGAAUAUUGCACAAUGGGCGGAAGCCUGAUGCAGCAACGCCGCGUGCGGGAUGACGGCCUUCGGGUUGUAAACCGCUUUCGCCUGGGAAGAAGCGUGAGUGACGGUAAUGGGUAAAGAAGCACCGGCUAACUACGUG
Molecule: ribosomal RNA, 468 nt
Filed under: uncultured bacterium
Lineage: Bacteria
Description: partial 16S ribosomal RNA
Rfam family: Bacterial small subunit ribosomal RNA
Source: RNAcentral